Molecule: ribosomal RNA, 790 nt
Filed under: uncultured archaeon
Lineage: Archaea
Description: bacterial SSU rRNA
Rfam family: Archaeal small subunit ribosomal RNA
Source: RNAcentral
ACGGCUCAGUAACACGUGGACAACCUGCCCUUAGGUUGGGUAUAAACCCGGGAAACUGGGUAUAAUACCCGAUAGGUCUCGAUUGCUGGAAUGCAUCGAGAUUUAAAGCUCCGGCGCCUAAGGAUGGGUCUGCGGCCUAUCAGGUAGUAGUGGGUGUAGCGUACCUACUAGCCUACGACGGGUACGGGUUGUGAGAGCAAGAGCCCGGAGAUGGAUUCUGAGACACGAAUCCAGGCCCUACGGGGUGCAGCAGGCGCGAAAACUUUACAAUGCUGGCAACAGCGAUAAGGGAACCUCGAGUGCCAGGUUACAAAUCUGGCUGUCGAGAUGCCUAAAAAGCAUUUCAUAGCAAGGGCCGGGCAAGACCGGUGCCAGCCGCCGCGGUAACACCGGCGGCUCGAGUGGUAACCGUUAUUAUUGGGUCUAAAGGGUCUGUAGCCGGCCGGAUAAGUCUCUUGAGAAAUCUGGCAGCUUAACCGUCAGGCUUUCAGGAGAUACUGUCUGGCUCGAGGCCGGGAGAGGUGAGAGGUACUUCAGGGGUAGGGGUGAAAUCUUGUAAUCCUUGAAGGACCACCAGUGGCGAAGGCGUCUCACCAGAACGGACCUGACGGCAAGGGACGAAAGCUAGGGGCACGAACCGGAUUAGAUACCCGGGUAGUCCUAGCCGUAAACGAUACUCGCUAGGUGUCGGCCACGGUGCGACCGUUGUCGGUGCCGUAGGGAAGCCGUGAAGCGAGCCACCUGGGAAGUACGGCCGCAAGGCUGAAACUUAAAGGAAUUGGCGGGGGAG